Molecule: unclassified non-coding RNA, 262 nt
Filed under: plant metagenome
Description: partial contains small subunit ribosomal RNA, internal transcribed spacer 1, and 5.8S ribosomal RNA
Source: RNAcentral
UUUCCGUAGGUGAACCUGCGGAAGGAUCAUUAUUGUAUAACCGAGGUGCGAGGGCUGUCGCUGACCCGAAAGGUCGUGCACGCCCGAGUGCCCUCACACACAUCCAUCUCACCCUAUGUGCACCACCGCGUGGGUCCCCCUUUGGCUUGUUCGGAGGGGGGCUUACGUUUUCACACAAACUUUGUAUGCAGUGUAGAAUGUAUUUUUUGUUUUUGCGAUCACGCAAUCAAUACAACUCUCAACAACGGAUCUCUUGGCUCUC